This 305-nucleotide long non-coding RNA is filed under the name Homo sapiens (human). Its description in RNAcentral is "HSALNT0111090". Lineage: Eukaryota; Metazoa; Chordata; Mammalia; Primates; Hominidae. The record is from RNAcentral.
CAACUGAAUAUUCAUAUAUUUAUUUUUAAAACACAGAACAGGCCGGGCAAAGUGUCUCGUGGAUGAGAAGAAAAAGCCUACCCAACUGCUACUGGAUUUUGCUGUUACAGACAAUCUUGUAAGUGAGGUUGCUGGGUCAAAUGGUAAGUGCAUUUGUACUUUUGACAGACAUGGUUAGAUUCUGCACUCCUACCAACAAUGUAUGACAUCAUUUAUGAAAACUGGACAACCAAAUGAGUUACCAAACUUUUGAGUUUUUACCAAUGUGACAGGUAGAAAACUGUUUUACUGUAGUUUUAAUUUGC